RNAcentral lists this ribosomal RNA (514 nucleotides) under uncultured bacterium. RNAcentral describes it as "SSU rRNA". It matches the Rfam family "Bacterial small subunit ribosomal RNA", at positions 386 to 915 of the family's 1533-position model. The record is from RNAcentral.
ACACAGAGACGCCGCGUGUGGGAUGACGGCCUUCGGGUUGUAAACCACUGUCGGGAGGGAGAAGAUCUGACGGUACCUCCAAAGGAAGCACCGGCUAACUCUGUGCCAGCAGCCGCGGUAAUACAGAGGGUGCGAGCGUUGUCCGGAAUCACUGGGCGUAAAGGGCGCGUAGGCGGCCUGAUAAGUAGGGGGUGAAAUCCUGUGGCUUAACUGCAGGGCUGCCUCCUAGACUGUCUGGCUCGAGCACGGUAGAGGCAGAUGGAAUUCCCGGUGUAGCGGUGGAAUGCGUAGAGAUCGGGAGGAACAUCGGUGGCGAAGGCGGUCUGCUGGGCCGUUGCUGACGCUGAGGCGCGACAGCGUGGGGAGCAAACAGGAUUAGAUACCCUGGUAGUCCACGCCGUAAACGAUGGACACUAGGCGUCGGGGGGAGCGACCCUCCCGGUGCCGUCGCUAACGCAGUAAGUGUCCCGCCUGGGGAGUACGGCCGCAAGGCUGAAACUCAAAGGAAUUGACG